RNAcentral lists this ribosomal RNA (513 nucleotides) under uncultured bacterium. RNAcentral describes it as "partial 16S ribosomal RNA". It matches the Rfam family "Bacterial small subunit ribosomal RNA", at positions 28 to 507 of the family's 1533-position model. The record is from RNAcentral.
GACGAACGCUGGCGGCGUGCUUAACACAUACAAGUCGAACGAAAAGAGGGAAAGAGCUUGCUCUUUCCGGAAUUGAGUGGCAAACGGGUGAGUAACACGUAAACAACCUGCCUUCAGGAUGGGGACAACAGACGGAAACGACUGCUAAUACCGAAUAAGUUCCAAGAGCCGCAUGGCCCAUGGAAGAAAAGGUGGCCUCUACCUGUAAGCUAUCGCCUGAAGAGGGGUUUGCGUCUGAUUAGCUGGUUGGAGGGGUAACGGCCCACCAAGGCGACGAUCAGUAGCCGGUCUGAGAGGAUGAACGGCCACACUGGAACUGAGACACGGUCCAGACUCCUACGGGAGGCAGCAGUGGGGAAUCUUCCGCAAUGGGCGAAAGCCUGACGGAGCAACGCCGCGUGAGUGAUGACGGCCUUCGGGUUGUAAAACUCUGUGAUCCGGGACGAAAAGGCAGAGUGCGAAGAACAAACUGCAUUGACGGUACCGGAAAAGCAAGCCACGGCUAACUACGUG